CCUCCUUAUGCUGAGAAGGGCACGUCGCACCGUGACACCGUCUGUGGUUAUUGCUCCCCGUUAGGUCACCCAGAGUCUGAUUGUCGCCAGAAGAAGCGAGACCAGAGGCGCUCCUCCUCUAGUGGGACUCCUGUGUCUUCCUCGACUCCGUCACUCACUGACGAGGACAUUGUUCGCCUCAAGUGUCUUCUUGAUUCCCCAGGCUCCUCGUCGACUGCUUCCGCUGUUGAUGUGACUGCAUCCUCUUCCUUCUCAUUUACCACCGACCCCGUCUUCUCCAUCCUCCUCCUCCACCUCUCCACCAUCAUCUCCAGUCCGUCGCCCUCUCUCACCGUUUCCUCUCCACUAUACUCGUCGAUCUCGUACUGA
This 369-nucleotide ribosomal RNA is filed under the name Triticum aestivum (bread wheat). RNAcentral describes it as "partial small subunit ribosomal RNA". Lineage: Eukaryota; Viridiplantae; Streptophyta; Magnoliopsida; Poales; Poaceae. The record is from RNAcentral.